This 282-nucleotide long non-coding RNA is filed under the name Mytilus galloprovincialis (Mediterranean mussel). The record is from RNAcentral. Lineage: Eukaryota; Metazoa; Mollusca; Bivalvia; Mytilida; Mytilidae.
CGUCGUGUGAAUAUUAUAAUGUUAUAAGUCCAUUUUACAGUGGAAAUGAGUUAUGGGUGUCAAUAGUUUCGUGCUGCAAUGUUCUAUCUCCCUAUAUAUUUAACCAGGCUUAAUUAUCUUCAAAUUUGCCUAAAACAGUAGUAUUAAAAUGAUAUAUCUCCAAAUACAAUGUUGUAUUCAGAAUUAUAGUGGUCUAAGUACAAACCAAUGAAAUUGACGGAUUCUGGGUCACAUGACAAAAGUUUACCAAUGGAGAUAGUAUGAAAUGAGGGCAUUAUAAUU